ACAACCAGCUACCAGUUCACUUUGAAAGUUUGAAACACCAUGAAGUCCACCUACACUUUGUCCCUUUUGGCUUUAUGCCUAACUUUAUACUUAACCUUCACCAAUGCUGCAAAUUUCAACAUUGUAAACCAAUGUACCUACACAGUUUGGGCAGCUGCUUCCCCAGGCGGUGGCAGGAGGCUCGACCGAGGCCAAUCAUGGUCCCUAAACGUGGCUCCUGGCACCACCCAAGCUCGCAUUUGGGGCCGAACCAAUUGCAACUUUGAUGCCAAUGGCCAAGGCCACUGUCAAACAGGUGACUGCAACGGGCGCCUCGAGUGCCAAGGCUAUGGAAGUCCACCGAAUACGCUAGCUGAGUUCGCCCUAAACCAGCCUAACAACUUAGACUACAUCGACAUUUCCAACGUUGAUGGAUUUAACAUCCCAUUGGAGUUCAGCUCCGUUACCAAUUGCCGUGACAUCAGAUGUUCAGCUCCUAUUGUUGAUCAAUGCCCAGCUCAGCUAAGAACUCCAGGUGGAUGCAACAAUCCCUGCACUGUUUUUCACACAAAUGAGUACUGUUGCACCGAUGGCCCAGGAAGCUGUCACCCGACCGACUUCUCCAGGUUCUUCAAGGACAGGUGCCCUGAUGCUUAUAGCUAUCCUCAAGAUGAUCCCACAAGCUUGUUUACUUGCCCAAGUGGUACAAAUUAUAGGGUUGUCUUCUGCCCUUAAAGAAAUCCAGAUAUUUAAGAAAAGUAGAUUAUGAAGAAAUAAACGCAUAUGAGACCCUUCUUGUAAUGGUUCACUGAAAUUGGAAUAAAUUUGAGCACAUAUAGCAUUGUGCGGUUUGUCUUCGUUAUCAGCUUUUUGGCUCUUUAAACUACUUAUGAACUACAUCACUGCUUACUAAAUUAAUCUGUAAGAUGGAUUUACACAUCCCUUGCUCUGACCCCUUCUUGCAUUUCUUCAAUUUCAAAAUUGAGUUACCAUGUUAAUUAGAAAACACAGUGUACAUGGAUUUGAGUGGUUUUAUUAUCCAUUACGAUUUGUAAUAAAAGAUCCUGGAGAAAAAACAAAAUAACAUCAACGCAGACAAAAAAAGUUAUACAAUAAAAUUUUUUAAAAAAAGUAAAAAGUUCUUUUACCCCAUCUAACUUAGCCAUAUAAGAAAAGAAGCUACAAAGUUCAGGAGCAGCCAAGAAUACAUCCACUUUGCAAACAAUUGAUUCGUUUCCUUUUCUUCCACCUUUCAUACUCCUUUCUGUUUUCCUUUCUCUUUUCUUCAAGUAUCAUCCAUGAAUCAGUUCCAGCAAUUUGAGGUAACAAUAAAAUCUAGGCUGUUCGGUGUCAUGGUUCAAUGGAUCUGAUACCACAUCUUGGACGGGUACAAGCUUUGCCCGUCCUCCAUACUACUCUGGCAAAGUUUCUUCGCCUAUGUCCUGGAUAAAACCCCUCCUUUCCUCUUCGUUAAUCACGAUCUUAAUCUGUGUCUAUCAUUUAAAAGUUGCUAGUUAAGUUCGAUUUUAGAAAACACAUGUAUUUCAGAAAAAAACAUGUUUACUCGAAAUUUUUGGAUUUGGAAAUCUAAACGCAAUUAUAUGCUACUUUCUGUACCCAUAAUCAAUGAAUAGAUAUUGAGCGAUGCUGUUAUAUGUUUCUGCAAUCAGACAAAUAUGAGCCACAAAUGGCUCAAAUUAAGUGAGAUCUUAGAAUCUUUGAAUUCAUAGAAACAAACACCGGAUCUUCAAUAACUGCUCUUCUGGUUGAUCACAUAAAGAGGCUAACUAUCUGCGUUCUGUAAUCGAUUAAGCAAUAGUACGAAUGGUUUUUUUUCAACUUAUUGGGAUCAUGAUGUGACUGGAAAGUUUUAUUUCUGUUGAAAAUUGAAUUAAUUAGCUUCAUACUCCUGCAGAACAAUAAUCUUCCAGUGGGAAAACAAGAUGGGAAGAAAUGGAAAGAAAAGAUCACUUUCUGUCGACUUCUACAAUCAAUAAAAAGCUCCAUUAAUUGAAAAAAAAAGAAGAAGAAGAAGAUGGAUCUUGUAUUGGUUCGUUGUCUUUAAGUAUUUCUGCACAAUAUUGUCUUGUUUUGACAAGUGAUAGUCGCACAUAGAGGGCAGUCUCUUGCAAGCCUUUCAAAGCAAGAUACAAGAAAACAGAUAUGCUCGAACAGAGAACUUAAAUUGCAUUUGUUUACUUUGACAAGUUUAAUGGCUUCAUCCUACGUAUGGAUGGAAGCAGUACUUUAGUUAUCAUCUGCCUGCUAAUUUUAAGAAAGAUCUUUCAUAUGUUUAAAUUUGCAGAAAUGGUUGCAUAUCAGAAAUACCUUCUCAAGAGUUGCUUUCUCAAGGAAGUAUGAAACCAUCCUCCAUACACUCACAAAGAACCAGGGUAGAUGUACAAUAUAACACUUGGCUAAGCACUCAGGGUAGCAAGCCAACACAAAUAAGAGAUUCGAAUGUAAUAUCGUAACGAGAAAGAAUUGCACAACACCAAGGUGAAUAGUCAUUGUGUCACGGUAAAACAGAACAAGAAUCUUUCUUGAAUUUGAAUGUAGAAAGAUCUGAUCAUUGUCCUUUUCCAUGGAUCCGAAUUCUAUCUGACCUUAAGUUUAAAGAUCUCAGCCGAUAACCUUAAUGAUCCAUGGUUUGACACGAAAACCAUUUGCCAAUAAUGGUCCUAGAAUUACACUUAAAUUAGGGAUAUGAAGAACCUCACUUGUAAAAUUUAAUGGCAGCAAAGUAAUACUUUUUGAACAGCAUAGAAGUCUACUCGGAGAAACUCAAAUUCAACGGAUGUUUCUGCAUGCUGAUUGAAUUUUCUAAGCUUCAUGAAGUCAUUUGCCUAACUCUUGACUGGGAUCAGACUAGAGAAGGAAGACAAACAGGUGUAUGGUCUUGAUUUAUGCCCAUUCUGCAACUCCAAAAUCUGGUUGAAAUUCUAGACUAAGAGCAAGAAUAUUAAAAAAAAAAAAAAAAGUUACGAUAUUAUCAUUAGUCUCCCCAGUUGUGUGAUUUUGAAAUGAUCGUCACUACCAAAAUGUUGAGAUUGACUAGCGCAUAACAGAAAGUUAUCGCUAAAAUAAUUAGAAGCUAAUAUCAAAUGUUUUAAUCCCAGAUCAUCAUUUAUUAUUUUGAACAUAGAUUUCAUUAUGGCUAAUCAAUUUUUGUAUAAUUGCUAGUUCUUUCCACUGAUUAGGUCAUAAGAUAAUUGUUUUCCACAGUGUUUUUAGGAGAAUUGUAAUAUAAUAUUUUGUUAAUAUUAAGAAAUGUUAGAAAGUGAUUCCUGAAAACAGUGUGGUUGAAAAACACUCCACCCAAACGGAUAAUUCAUGUCUGUUUCUUUUUCUAUCUUAGACAGAGGUAAUAUUGGACACUAGAGGAAAGACAUGUAAGGUUGAUCUUUAAAACGGUCAAGUCUGACAUCACCCGAACAAUAAAAAAAGGGGUAAAAUACACUUUGGGCUCCUGUGAUUUAGCAUUUUUCACAUAAUCUCCUCCCGGUUUCAAAAGUUAUACAUAACUCUCUUAUAAUUUGGAUUAAAGUGUCAAAGUGAAGAAAUUUGCAUUUUAUAAUGGAAUCAACUAAAAUGUCAAAAGUACCCCUAUAUAAAAUUAAAUAUUAUUUAUUUAUCACAAGGGAUUAUGUAUAUAUUUUAAAAAUCAUAAUAGAGUUAUAUAGUAAAAUACUAAACCAUAAAGGAGUUACACGCUGAAACAUAAAAUCAUUUGUCAUUAGACUGUGAUACAUGUUAUGUUAUAUAUUUUGUCACUUCACCCAUUUUAGUUUUUAAACAAAGGUAAUUUAGACAUUUUUAUGGAUUCUAUUAUAAAUGAUCAUUUUUAUUAUUUUAACACUUUAAUUCAAAUUAUGAGGGAUUAUAUAUAGUUUUUAAAACUAUAGGUGGGUCAUAUGAAAAAUUACUAAGCCACAUGGUGAUAAAGUGUAUUUUGCCAAAUAAAAAAUGAGGGAUGAGAGCUGACUGAAAUCAUGCAAAAGGAUAACGGCUAGAUCAGCAUCUUUGAAUCAUUCCUAGCUAGUAUACAAGAUGACCAUCAAAAUCUCUGAAAUUUCUUACGUAGAAAAUUGGUGAAGAAGAUUAAGGUGUACACGCAAGUUAAUAGCAGCCAAUCACCCUACGUAAACCCCUAGCUGUGGCACCUUGAAAACACAAUAGCUACUAGUUCACUUGGAAAGUUAGAAACACCAUGAAGUUCAGCCACACCUUGUCCCUUUUGGUUUCGUGCUUCAUUUUAUACUUAACCUUCACCAAUGCUGCAAAUUUCAACAUUAUAAACCAAUGUACCUACACAGUUUGGGCAGCUGCUUCCCCAGGGGGUGGCAGGAGGCUCGACCGAGGCCAAUCAUGGUCCCUAGAUGUGGCUCCUGGCACCACC
This 4378-nucleotide long non-coding RNA is filed under the name Coffea arabica (coffee). RNAcentral describes it as "long non-coding RNA (CARA_LNC007911)". Lineage: Eukaryota; Viridiplantae; Streptophyta; Magnoliopsida; Gentianales; Rubiaceae. The record is from RNAcentral.